GAUGAACGCUGGCGGCGUGCUUAACACAUGCAAGUCGAACGGGAAACCUUUUAUUGAAGCUUCGGCCGAUUUAGCUGGUUUCUAGUGGCGGACGGGUGAGUAACGCGUGGGUAACCUGCCUUAUUCAGGGGGAUAACAGUCAGAAAUGGCUGCUAAUACCGCAUAAGCGCACAGAGCUGAAUGGCUCAGUGUGAAAAACUCCGGUGGCAUAAGAUGGAUCCGCGUUGGAUUAGCUGGUUGGUGGGGUAACGGCCCACCAAGGCGACGAUCCAUAGCCGGCCUGAGAGGGUGAACGGCCACAUUGGGACUGAGACACGGCGCAGACUCCUACGGGAGGCAGCAGUGGGGAAUAUUGCACAAUGGGGGAAACCCUGAUGCAGCGACGCCGCGUGAAGGAAGAAGUAUCUCGGUAUGUAAACUUCUAUCAGCAGGGAAGAUAAUGACGGUACCUGACUAAGAAGCCCCGGCUAACUACGUG
This 478-nucleotide ribosomal RNA is filed under the name uncultured bacterium. RNAcentral's name for it is "partial 16S ribosomal RNA". It matches the Rfam family "Bacterial small subunit ribosomal RNA", at positions 28 to 507 of the family's 1533-position model. The record is from RNAcentral.